GACGAACGCUGGCGGCGUGCCUAAUACAUGCAAGUCGAGCGAGCUUGCCUAGAUGAAUUUGGUUCUUGCACCAGAUGAAACUAGAUACAAGCGAGCGGCGGACGGGUUAGUAACACGUGGGUAACCUGCCCAAGAGACUGGGAUCACACCUGGAAACAGAUGCUCAUACCGGAUAACAACACUAGACGCCUGUCUAGAGUUUAAAAGAUGGUUCUGCUAUCACUCUUGGAUGGACCUGCGGUGCAUUCUCUAGUUGGUAAGGCAACGGCUUACCAAGGCAAUGAUGGAUAGCCGAGUUGAGAGACUGAUAGGCCACAUUGGGACUGAGACACGGCCAAAACUCCUACGGGAGGCAGCAGUAGGGAAUCUUCCACAAUGGACGCAAGUAUGAUGGAGCAACGCCGCGUGAGUGAAGAAGGGUUUCGGCUCGUAAAGCUGUGUUGGUAGUGAAGAAAGAUAGAGGUAGUAACUGGACUGUAUUUGACGGUAAUUACUAAGAAAGUCACGGCUAACUACGUG
RNAcentral lists this ribosomal RNA (519 nucleotides) under uncultured bacterium. Its description in RNAcentral is "partial 16S ribosomal RNA". It matches the Rfam family "Bacterial small subunit ribosomal RNA", at positions 28 to 507 of the family's 1533-position model. The record is from RNAcentral.